This 784-nucleotide long non-coding RNA is filed under the name Equus caballus (horse). RNAcentral describes it as "lncRNA (ENSECAG00000051157.1)". Lineage: Eukaryota; Metazoa; Chordata; Mammalia; Perissodactyla; Equidae. The record is from RNAcentral.
UGAAAGUCAGUUAGUCAUGCAUAGCUUCCCGCAUAGUGAUGCCUUUCUCUUUUGCUUAUCUCAGAGAUCUUUGGCAAGAUAGCAUACUGUAUGUGUAAAACAGCAGUUCUCAAAGUGUGCCUGGAGCAGCAUCAGCAACAUCACUUGGGAAAUGAGAAAAAUGCAGAUUCCCUGAUCCCACCUCUGACCUACAGAAUCAAAAACUCUAGAAGUGGGCCUCUGUAAGCUGUGUUUCAACCAGCCCUCCAGGUAAAUCAUGUUACCAUUUUGGACUCAAUUUCCUCAACAUUAAAGCAAAAGGCUUGAAUUAUAUCACCUGGAGUCUGAACUUAAGAGAUCUAUGACCAUCAGCCAAUGAGCCAAUAUCAUACUCUCUUCCAAAGUUCGCGUAUGGAUAAAUAAUGAAAGACAGGAUCUGGACUAAAUAGAGGAAGGUAAGAAAUUAGGUCAAGUUUCACCAAAGUGACCCAUCAUCAGGCCAACUUCAUGAGCAUAUGUUUGGUUUACUAUUUGGCUGUUGCCAGCUCAAAAUUCUUAAUACUUUUUGAACAAGGGGCCUCACCAUUUCAUUUUGCACUGGGCCCUGCAAAUCAUUUAGCCAGUUCUGAUCAUCAUACUUAAGAGAAAUGAGGAGUUGCCCUUUGGCCCCUCUUGGAUUUUUACUUCCCUGAUGACUGGCCCCAAAACUCUCUGGACUAUAGAAAUAUGGGCUCAAAGACUAGACCCAGCCACCAGGUGUAUAUAUACACAACCUUAUCUCAUAUCUAUCUGCAACAUGUACAGC